GAUGAACGCUGGCGGCGUGCCUAACACAUGCAAGUCGAACGGAAAGGCCCUGCUUUCGUGGGGUUCCAGAGUGGCGAACGGGUGUGAAACACGUGAGUAUGCUGCCCAUGAGUUUAGGAUAACUUCAGGAGACUGGGAAUACUACCGGAUAGGUGCUCCUGCUGCAUGGUGGGGGUUGGAACGUUUCGGCGGUGUUGGAUGGAUUUGCGGUUUAUCAGCUUGUUGGUGGGGUAGUGGCUUACCAAGUGAUUGGCGGGUAGCCGGCCUGAGAGCUUGACCGGCGACAAUGGUCCUGCGAGACGGACCAGACGCGUACGGGAGGCAGCAGGGGGAAAUAUUGCACAAUGGGCGCAAGCGUGAUGCAGCGGCCCCGCGUGCGGAAUGACGGCCUUCUGGUUGUAAACCGCUGUCGGCUGUGACGAAGCGGGAGUGACGGUAACGAGUAAAGAAGCACCGGCUAACUACGUG
RNAcentral lists this ribosomal RNA (468 nucleotides) under uncultured bacterium. RNAcentral's name for it is "partial 16S ribosomal RNA". It matches the Rfam family "Bacterial small subunit ribosomal RNA", at positions 28 to 507 of the family's 1533-position model. The record is from RNAcentral.